UACGGAAGGCAGCAGUGGGGAAUAUUGCACAAUGGGCGCAAGCCUGAUGCAGCCAUGCCGCGUGUAUGAAGAAGGCCUUCGGGUUGUAAAGUACUUUCAGUCGCGAGGAAGGUGUUAAGGUUAAUAACCUUAGCAAUUGACGUUAGCGACAGAAGAAGCACCGGCUAACUCCGUGCCAGCAGCCGCGGUAAUACGGAGGGUGCGAGCGUUAAUCGGAAUUACUGGGCGUAAAGGGCACGCAGGCGGUUAAUUAAGUUGGAUGUGAAAUCCCCGGGCUUAACCUGGGAAUGGCAUUCAAGACUGGUUAGCUAGAGUCUUGUAGAGGGGGUAGAAUUCCAUGUGUAGCGGUGAAAUGCGUAGAGAUGUGGAGGAAUACCGGGUGGCGAAGGCGGCCCCUGGGACAAAGACUGACGCUCAUGUGCGAAAGCGUGGGGAGCAAACAGGAUUAGAUACC
RNAcentral lists this ribosomal RNA (454 nucleotides) under uncultured bacterium. RNAcentral's name for it is "bacterial SSU rRNA". It matches the Rfam family "Bacterial small subunit ribosomal RNA", at positions 340 to 786 of the family's 1533-position model. The record is from RNAcentral.